UAGUUUUCUCAGUACCUUAUCUUAGUCUGGAACUCUGCUUUCAAUUUCUGUAAUCUGGCGCUAUGCAUCCGGAUCCCAGACCCUUACAGGCACUGCUCUUCAUCACUGCUACAGUUCUCUUCUCCGCUACAUGUUCAGAUUUGAUUCCUCAUUUUAUUUCUGAGCCCCUGGCUACUAUCCAGAAGCCUGGUGUGCCUGUAAAGCUUCAUUGCUCUGCUGAACCCUCCACAGCUCGCAUUUCUUGGAUGUUUAACGGACAGAGGUUGGACAGCAGGGUGGAGCAAGUGGAGGUGCAGCUAGGAUCUUUGACAAUCUUCUCUCUCAGCCCCUCAAAUUCUGGUCACUAUCAGUGCAUUGCCAAUUACAGUGCUGGUGCAAUUGUGAGCAGGCCUGCUGUAGUAUCCGUAGGCUAUCUUGAUGAUUUUGAUACUUCAGUGAAACACAUAGUUACAGCAGAAGAAGGAAGUGCUGCCUUCAUUGGCUGUAAGGUACCAGAAAGUAACCCUAAAGCACAAGUUCGCUUUCGAGUACGGGGAAAAUGGCUGGAACAAUCAACAGAUAACUACCUAAUUCUUCCAUCUGGAAAUCUGCAGAUUUUGAAUGUCUCUUUGGAGGAUAAAGGCUCCUAUAAAUGUGCAGCAUACAACCCAGUCACUCAUGAUCUCAAAUUAGAACCCACUGGACAUAAGCUCAUAGUCAGCCGCACUUCUGCAGAAGGCUUUCGUAUUCUUCACCCCACCGUUUCUCAGGCUUUGGCAGUACCUCAGCACAGUCCCCUAACUCUAGAGUGUGUUGUUAGUGGGUUGCCUGCAUCUCAUGUCCACUGGUCUAAGGAUGGUCAGGAUGCACUGACUGGAAGCAGGUGGAGACUGCUGCACUCUCAUCUUGUGACUGACAGACUUGGUACAUUGGAUGCUGGAAACUACUCCUGUGUGGUGGCAAAUGAGUCUGGAGUAGCAAAAUAUAUAAAUUACACAGUAACUAUACUUGAAUCUGCCUCAAUUUCUAAAGGACUGCAGGAUCAAACAGUGGCUGUGGGUGCAACUAUACAUUUCUCAUGUGACAUUCAUGGAAACCCUGCUCCUAAUCUUACCUGGUUCCAUAAUGCAGCUCCCAUCCAUCUCUCUCCACGACAUCUGGUCACAGGAAACAGGUUGAGAAUCAGUGGCAUCACCAAGGAGGAUUCUGGGUUGUACCAGUGUGUGGCAAACAAUGGGAUUGGUUUUAUGCAGUCCACUGGGAGACUUCAAAUCCAGACAGGCAAAGGUUCCAAGCCGGUUAUAGUUUAUUCACCAGCUAAUGCCAAUGUGGUAGAUGGUGGUGAUGUUACAUUGUCAUGCAAUGCCACUGGACUACCUGUUCCUGUAAUCCGUUGGUACAACAGCCAUGGACUUAUUACCAGCCACCCCUCUCAGGUCCUACAUUCAAAACCACGAAAAUCUCCACAAACAAGAAGAGGCAGCACGAUUUUAGAACCCGUCUACUUCACCAUGUCUCGAGCUGGAUCAAGCUCCCUAUACAUUCAGGCAGUUACUCCAGAGCAUGCUGGGAAAUACUCUUGUGAAGCAACAAAUAAACACGGCUCAGCGCUGUCCGACGCAUUUCUUACCGUUGUUCCUUUUGAAUCUAGUACAAAAGCUGAAGAAGUCACUCCUAUGGAGGGUGCCCAAAGUGAUGAAGGUGAUGGAGAUUAUGAUACAGAAGUGAGGUUCUCAAAUUUGUCUCCGACAAAGUUGCAUCUUGAUGCAGUUGCUACAGAAAAGACACCCAAUGGGGCUUUGCCUCCUGAAGCCCCAAUCAUCCUCAGCCCUCCACAGACACUCAAGCCAGACAUGUAUAACCUGGUGUGGCGCUCUGGAAAGGAUGGCGGCUUGCCCAUCAAUGCUUACUUCGUGAAAUAUCGCAAGCUGGAUGAUGGUGUCAGUGUCAUGGGAAGCUGGCAUACAGUUCGUGUUCCUGGAAGUGAAAAUGAGCUGCUUCUCUCAGAACUGGAGCCCUCCAGCCUCUAUGAAGUUCUGAUGGUAGCGAGGAGUGCUGCUGGUGAAGGCCAGCCUGCCAUGCUUACAUUUCGCACCAGCAAAGAAAGAACAUCCUCCUCAAAAAACACUCAGCCCCCAUCUCCCCCACUUGGCAUUCCUAAACAUCCUGUCAUUCAGGAAGGGACAAAUAACUUUGGGGUGGUCCUUCCAGACCUGUCUCGACACAGUGGAGUUCCAGAAGCUCCAGAUCGCCCUGCUAUCUCUACAGCUUCAGAGACCUCUGUCUAUGUCACAUGGAUCCCACGUGCAAAUGGUGGCUCCCCCAUCACUGCCUUUAAAGUCGAGUACAAGCGCAUGAGCCGAAACAGCGAUUGGCUAAUUGCAGCCGAUAGCAUCUCUCCUUCUAAACUGUCAGUGGAAGUUCGCAACUUAGACCCAGGAGCAACGUACAAAUUCCGUGUGAUUGCCGUUAACAAUUACGGAGAUAGUCCACGAAGCUCACCAUCUCGGCCAUAUCAAGUCGCUGGCUUUACCAACCGUUUUUCCAACCGCCCAAUCACAGGACCUCACAUUGCCUACACUGAGGCAGUCAGCGACACUCAGAUCAUGUUAAAAUGGACUUAUAUUACUUCAAGCAACAACAAUACCCCCAUCCAAGGAUUUUAUAUCUAUUACCGACCAACUGACAGUGACAAUGAUAGUGAUUACAAGAGAGAGAUUGUAGAAGGUACAAAGCAGUGGCACUUGAUAAGCCACCUGCAGCCAGAAACAUCUUACGACAUUAAAAUGCAGUGCUAUAAUGAGGGAGGAGAAAGUGAGUACAGCAACGUAAUGAUGUGCGAGACGAAAGUGAAACGCACACCUGGAGCAUCAGAAUAUCCAGUGAAGGAUCUGAGUACACCACCUAAUUCUCCUGAUCGUGCCGGUGGAGGCAAUGCUGGCCCAUCAAAUGGCCCUGUUCGGAGCAGCGACAUGCUAUAUCUGAUUGUGGGCUGUGUCCUUGGAGUGAUGGUCCUUAUUCUGAUAGUUUUCAUUGCCAUGUGUCUGUGGAAGAAUCGCCAGCAAAACACCAUGCAGAAGUAUGACCCUCCUGGUUACCUCUACCAAGGUGCAGAUAUCAAUGGGCAAAUGGUCGAAUACGCUGCUUUACCAGGCACAAACCGCAUCAAUGGUAGCAUACAUGGAAACUUCAUCAGCAAUGGGUGGUGGAGUGUACACAGCAGUGCCUCAGACUGACCCCUCGGAGUGCAUCACUUGCCGGAAUUGUCGGAACAAUAACAGGUGUUUCACCAAAACCAAUGGCACUUUUAGCAGCAAGACACUACCUGUGGUGCCCAUAGUAGCACCUUAUCAGCAGGACAGUUUAGAGAUGAAACCAAUGAAUCAUGUGAUGGUAGCCAUGUGUUUAGCCUCCACGGUCCCAGAACGCAGCGUCGAGAUGGAGGAAGACAGCAAGGAGAAAGUGGAGCAGCCAUCUAGUCAGCAUUCUUGCUGUCAGGAAAAUAUGAAUCCGAUUAACAUAGAUUACCCAGAAGGUGACAUCUGUGCACAUUUGGAAACAUCAAAUCCUAUUUUGAGCUGGAGCCCUCUUAUUCUGCAGCCUGUUUCGAAGGACUGUAAUGAAAAAUCAGGAUGGAAUUCACCUGGUGUCAGUUUAAACAGCUCCGGGGACCUUCGACAGCUCCACGCGCAGGAAACCUGAAGAAGCAGCAACCGUUUUCCCACUCAAAGCCAGUAACUGCACAGCAGAGUCACUGACAAGGACUGGUGGAUGGGGUGUUAAUUAUAACAGAGAGAGUCACUAUUUAUUUUUUUGUAGUAGUGUCAUGAAUGUAUCUUGUUUAAAAUGUUUGCCUUUUAAUAUUAUUUAUGCCUUGAGAAAUUCCUUUGUUUUUUCCACACCCUGUGGAAUUAGCCUGGUUAUGUAUAAAGUUUUGUAAUAAUAUAAAGAACAACAAUGGGAAAUAUAUAGAGUGUUUUCCAUGGAUAUUACCAGCAUGAGAAGCACUUCUGCAAAGGAGCAUUGAUGUUGAGUAUGCAGAUUUUAGAAUGGAUCUAACCCGAGUGGUUCUGAAGUUCAUAGCAGAUUAUAGCCACCCUAUAGAGCUGCCGUGUCACUGGCAUUUGUUGCAAUAUUUUUACGUCUGAUUUGCCUGACUACAUUUGAAUGCCGUUGUUUCAGGCUCUCUUGAUGGAAAGAGAUUUUAUAAUGGAACCCCAGCAUAAUGAUCCCCAGCCGAUCGGUUUAUACGAAUGGUACAGCUGGUCGAAUAGUAAUACAUCUAUUUGGGAGCCAGAGCCCUGCAUUCAGUUGGAUGCUACUUAUCAUAUUUUUAGUUAUCUCCAAGUAUUGGAAAACCUCUAAUGUUCAGAGAAAAUUUCAUCAUUCCCCAGACUUUCAUGCCAUCCAACAGGAAUGAUUUAUCUGAACAUUCUUACUGGAAGGUCCCUAUUUGUUGUUCUAAUCAGGGAACAGAAACUAUUCCAUAUGACUUGUGGGACCAGCUGUAUAAUGUACAUAUGGAAUAAUCUACAUGAAUAAUAUGUAAACAGCCUGGAGUCUGAGCAUUGUUUAUUCAAGCUCGUCAGCACAUAGUGAUUUUUCUGAACGUAUUCGUUACUCUUGUUAAAGGCUCUCAACCAAAAAAGGCUGCUAAAUUCAGAAGAGUUAUUGGCAGCAACUCUCUCUUAUUUGCCAGUUGUUUUGCAUUCUUGUGCAUGUUUUAAAUUUUGCUGCAGGUAAAUCGGGCUGAAUUUUCUAAAUUUACAUCUUAAAUCUGCUCAUGCAUGCACACUUUGGGAUUGAUAAACCAAGAGUAAAUGCCGACAGGGCAAAGUGAACUCACUCUGAAAUAAGAGACAGUUCUUUGGCACCUUUGUAGACCAACAGACAUAUUGGAGCAUAAGCUUUCGUGGGUGACAUGCAUCUGACGAAGUGGGUAUUCACCCACGAAAGCUUU
Chelonoidis abingdonii (Abingdon island giant tortoise) is the source of this 4939-nucleotide non-coding RNA. Lineage: Eukaryota; Metazoa; Chordata; Testudines; Testudinidae. The record is from RefSeq and is a predicted model, not a curated record.